This 269-nucleotide ribosomal RNA is filed under the name uncultured prokaryote. RNAcentral's name for it is "partial 16S ribosomal RNA". It matches the Rfam family "Bacterial small subunit ribosomal RNA", at positions 524 to 792 of the family's 1533-position model. The record is from RNAcentral.
UACGUAGGGUGCGAGCGUUAUCCGGAUUUAUUGGGUUUAAAGGGUGCGCAGGCGGGAGAUUAAGUCGGCGGUGAAAUUUUGCAGCUCAACUGUAAAAGUGCCUUCGAAACUGGUUUCCUUGAGUGUAGAUGAAGUAGGCGGAAUUUGUGGUGUAGCGGUGAAAUGCAUAGAUAUCACGAGGAACUCCGAUUGCGCAGGCAGCUUACUAAACUAUAACUGACGCUCAGGCACGAAGGCGUGGGGAUCAAACAGGAUUAGAUACCCUGGUA